RNAcentral lists this ribosomal RNA (301 nucleotides) under uncultured bacterium. RNAcentral's name for it is "partial 16S ribosomal RNA". It matches the Rfam family "Bacterial small subunit ribosomal RNA", at positions 509 to 807 of the family's 1533-position model. The record is from RNAcentral.
CAGUAGCCGCGGUAAUACGGAGGAUCCAAGCGUUAUCCGGAAUCAUUGGGUUUAAAGGGUCCGUAGGCGGUCUUGUAAGUCAGUGGUGAAAGCCCAUCGCUCAACGGUGGAACGGCCAUUGAUACUGCAGGACUUGAAUUAUUGGGAAGUAACUAGAAUAUGUAGUGUAGCGGUGAAAUGCUUAGAGAUUACAUGGAAUACCAAUUGCGAAGGCAGGUUACUACCAAUUGAUUGACGCUGAUGGACGAAAGCGUGGGUAGCGAACAGGAUUAGAUACCCCGGUAGUCCCUGUCUCUUAUAC